This 372-nucleotide ribosomal RNA is filed under the name Backusella variabilis. RNAcentral describes it as "eukaryotic LSU rRNA". It matches the Rfam family "Eukaryotic large subunit ribosomal RNA", at positions 66 to 432 of the family's 3401-position model. The record is from RNAcentral. Lineage: Eukaryota; Fungi; Mucoromycota; Mucoromycetes; Mucorales; Backusellaceae.
UAACAAUGAUUUCCCUAGUAACGGCGAGUGAAGAGGAAAGAGCUCAAAGUUGGAAUCCGGCUGCCUUAGGUAGUUGGAAUUGUAAACUGGAGAGGUGUUUUCCAGGCGAGCCGAGCAAAUAAGUCCUUUGGAACAGGGCAUCAUAGAGGGUGAGAAUCCCGUCUUUGGCUUGAGCAUUGCCUUUUGCGAUACACUUUCAAAGAGUCAGGUUGUUUGGGAAUGCAGCCUAAAUUGGGUGGUAAAUCUCACCUAAAGCUAAAUAUUGGCGAGAGACCGAUAGCGAACAAGUACCGUGAGGGAAAGAUGAAAAGAACUUUGAAAAGAGAGUUAAACAGUAUGUGAAAUUGUUGAAAGGGAACCGUUUGGAGCCAG